Molecule: ribosomal RNA, 253 nt
Filed under: uncultured bacterium
Lineage: Bacteria
Description: partial 16S ribosomal RNA
Rfam family: Bacterial small subunit ribosomal RNA
Source: RNAcentral
UACGUAGGGUGCGAGCGUUAUUCGGAAUUACUGGGCGUAAAGUGUGCGCAGGUGGCCGCGCAAGUCGAGUGUGAAAUCCCCGAGCUUAACUUGGGAAUUGCGCUCGAAACUACGUGGCUCGAGUGUGGCAGAGGAAGGUGGAAUUCCACGUGUAGCGGUGAAAUGCGUAGAGAUGUGGAGGAACACCGAUGGCGAAGGCAGCCUUCUGGGCCAACACUGACGCUCAUGCACGAAAGCGUGGGGAGCAAACAGG